RNAcentral lists this ribosomal RNA (1359 nucleotides) under uncultured bacterium. Its description in RNAcentral is "bacterial SSU rRNA". It matches the Rfam family "Bacterial small subunit ribosomal RNA", at positions 27 to 1381 of the family's 1533-position model. The record is from RNAcentral.
GGAUGAACGCUAGCGGCAGGCUUAACACAUGCAAGUCGAGGGGCAGCACGGGUAGCAAUACCUGGUGGCGACCGGCGCAAGAGUGCGUAACGCGUGAGCAACAUGCCCUAUACAGGGGGAUAAUCCAGGGAAACUUGGUCUAAUAUCCCAUAGUAUUUAGAGGAGGCAUCUUCUAUAAAUUAAAGCUUCGGUGGUAUAGGAUUGGCUCGCGUGACAUUAGCUAGAUGGUGAGGUAACGGCUCACCAUGGCAAUGAUGUCUAGGGGUUCUGAGAGGAAGGCCCCCCACACUGGGACUGAGACACGGCCCAGACUCCUACGGGAGGCAGCAGUGAGGAAUAUUGGACAAUGGAUAGAAAUCUGAUCCAGCCAUGCCGCGUGCAGGAAGACAGCCCUAUGGGUUGUAAACUGCUUUUAUAUGGGAGCAAUAAGGUCUACGUGUAGACUGAUGAGAGUACCAUAUGAAUAAGCAUCGGCUAACUACGUGCCAGCAGCCGCGGUAAUACGUAGGGGGCGAGCGUUGUCCGGAAUGAUUGGGCGUAAAGGGCGCGCAGGCGGCCUGUCAAGUCAGUAGUGGAAGUCCAUUUUUCAAGGAUGGAAGUGCUAUAGAAACUGAUGGGCUUGAGUGCAGGAGAGGUUAUCGGAAUUCCCGGUGUAGCGGUGAAAUGCGUAGAGAUCGGGAGGAACACCAGUGGCGAAGGCGGGUAACUGGACUGCAACUGACGCUGAGGCGCGAAAGUGUGGGGAGCAAACAGGAUUAGAUACCCUGGUAGUCCACACUGUAAACGAUGAAUGCUAGGUGUAGGGGGUAUCGACCCCUUCUGUGCCGAAGUAAACACAAUAAGCAUUCCGCCUGGGGAGUACGGUCGCAAGAUUAAAACUCAAAGGAAUUGACGGGGGCCCGCACAAGCAGCGGAGCAUGUGGUUUAAUUCGAAGCAACGCGAAGAACCUUACCAGGUCUUGACAUCCAUCUAAAGCUGCGGAGACGCAGUGUGAGCAAGCUCGAGAUGAGACAGGUGGUGCAUGGUUGUCGUCAGCUCGUGUCGUGAGAUGUUGGGUUAAGUCCCGCAACGAGCGCAACCCUUGCCGGUAGUUACUAACGGGAAGAGCCGAGGACUUUACCGGGACCGCCGGGGACAACUCGGAGGAAGGUGGGGACGACGUCAAAUCAUCAUGCCCCUUAUGACCUGGGCUACACACGUGCUACAAUGGCCGAGACAGAGGGUAGCGAAGGCGCGAGCCGGAGCGAAUCUCAAAAAAGCGGUCACAGUUCGGAUUGCGGGCUGCAACCCGCCCGCAUGAAGCAGGAGUUGCUAGUAAUCGCGAAUCAGCAUGUCGCGGUGAAUACGUUCCCGGGCCU